AGUCGAGUGCGCGUACCGUAGCAAUACGGUAUGGCGCACGGCGCACGGGUGCGUAACACGUGGGCAAUCUGCCCUUCGAUGGGGAAUAUCUUCGGGAAACCGAAGCGAAUUCCGCAUAACAUUCCUUGGACUUCGGUUCGAGGACUCAAAGCCGUAAGGCGUCGAAGGAGGAGCCCGCGCCCGAUUAGCUAGUUGGUGAGGUAACGGCUCACCAAGGCAAUGAUCGGUAGCUGGUCUGAGAGGAUGGCCAGCCACACUGGAACUGAGACACGGUCCAGACUCCUACGGGAGGCAGCAGUGGGGAAUCUUGCGCAAUGGGCGAAAGCCUGACGCAGCGACGCCGCGUGGGGGAUGAAGCAUCUCGGUGUGUAAACCCCUUUCGACUGGGACGAAUGCCUCGCAAGAGGAGUGACGGUACCAGUAGAAGAAGCCCCGGCUAACUACGUGUCAGCAGCCGCGGUAAGACGUAGGGGGCCAGCGUUGUUCGGAAUUACUGGGUGUAAAGGGUUCGUAGGCGGUGUGGCAAGUCGGGAGUGAAAUUUCUGGGCUUAACCCAGAAGCUGCUUCCGAAACUGCUGUGCUUGAAUGUGGAAAAGCCCGUGGAAUUGCAGUGUAGCGGUGAAUGCGUAAAUUUUUGCAGAACCCCCCUGGGGAAAGCGGCCCCCUUGGACCACUACUGACCCUUAAGAACGAAAGCUUGGGGAGCAAACAGGAUUAAAACCCUGGUAUUCUUAGCCUUAAACAAUUAAGGAAUUGGGGGGCCCCCCCGUUCCGGGGUCCUUCCCGGAACUUAACCCUUUAAAUUCUCCCCCUGGGGG
This 818-nucleotide ribosomal RNA is filed under the name uncultured soil bacterium. Its description in RNAcentral is "bacterial SSU rRNA". It matches the Rfam family "Bacterial small subunit ribosomal RNA", at positions 60 to 879 of the family's 1533-position model. The record is from RNAcentral.